RNAcentral lists this ribosomal RNA (789 nucleotides) under Triticum aestivum (bread wheat). RNAcentral's name for it is "partial small subunit ribosomal RNA". The record is from RNAcentral. Lineage: Eukaryota; Viridiplantae; Streptophyta; Magnoliopsida; Poales; Poaceae.
AUGGAGCCAUUACGCGUCGCCUUCCCUGGCCUAUUCUCGAUUUGUGUAGACCCGUCUGUUCUUGUGGCCACGGCCUUCCAAGAUGGACAGUGGAACCUUGAGUUCCGUCGCUCGUUCGGACCGGCCGAGAUUAAUGACUGGACUACAUUGCGGGCCGCCCUGCCACUCGUGCACCCGGAUUAUCCGGACACAGUUUCAUGGCGGCACACGCCGACAGCGGAGUUCUCAGUGGGCACGGCUUACCAGGCCCUUUGCCCGCCGACAACUCACCCCUGGCUUGUCCCUCUAUGGAAAGCCCCCGUCCCAUUAAAGAUUAAGAUUUUUGUUUGGCAACUUCUACGAGAUCGUCUCCCCUCGGGGACAGAGGCACUUAAGCGGCACGGACCUGGGGAUGGUAUUUGCCCCCUCUGUGCAGUACCGGAGACUGGGACACAUAUUCUCUUCUCUUGUACGGCAGCGAGGGUAUUAUGGACUUUCGUCUGCGAGGCGUUGGGGCCUGACUGGGAGGCCCUAAAUCUCGCGGAGUUCCUGCAGCUUCGAGCUAUACAGCCUACACGACAUCGCCGCCUAUUUUGGCUUAUUUUUGCGGCAAUGUUGUGGACUCUUUGGACGACUAGGAAUAAGAUGGUGAUUGAGAAGGUUUUCCCAAAGAAGGCUUCUGACUCCUUCUUCAAAUUCCUUACUUUCUUGCAGCACUGGCACCCGCUCUCGAGGCAGCGUGAUCGUGAUCGCCUUGGCUUGAUGAUGGAUGCGCUUUUGGCCUCGGCGCGUCGGCUGUCGUCCUCGUAG